RNAcentral lists this non-coding RNA (77 nucleotides) under Philodina roseola. The record is from RNAcentral. Lineage: Eukaryota; Metazoa; Rotifera; Eurotatoria; Philodinida; Philodinidae.
CAAAAUGAAAAGCUACCUGAUGAGGUUCUUGAAAAAGACCGAAACGCGUUGUGGCUGAUUUAUUGAUUUACUCACCC